GGAUUAGAUACCCUGGUAGUCCACGCUGUAAACGAUGAUCACUAGAUGUUCGGCUGCAAAGCUGAGUGUCCAAGCGAAAGCGAUAAGUGAUCCACCUGGGGAGUACGUUCGCAAGAAUGAAACUCAAAGGAAUUGACGGGGGCCCGCACAAGCGGUGGAGCAUGUGGUUUAAUUCGAUGAUACGCGAGGAACCUUACCUGGGCUACAAUGCCUCUGACAGACGCCGAAAGGUGUUUUUCCUUCGGGACAGAGUGCAAGGUGCUGCAUGGUUGUCGUCAGCUCGUGUCG
Molecule: ribosomal RNA, 288 nt
Filed under: uncultured bacterium
Lineage: Bacteria
Description: partial 16S ribosomal RNA
Rfam family: Bacterial small subunit ribosomal RNA
Source: RNAcentral